CUACGGGUUGCAGCAGUGAGGAAUAUUGCACAAUGGGGGGAACCCUGAUGCAGCAACGCCGCGUGGAGGAUGACGCAUUUCGGUGUGUAAACUCCUUUUAUAUGUCAAGAAAAUGACGGUAGCAUAUGAAUAAGCACCGGCUAACUCCGUGGCCAGCAGCCGCGGUAAUACGGAGGGUGCAAGCGUUACUCGGAAUCACUGGGCGUAAAGGACGCGUAGGCGGGUUGGAAAGUCAGGUGUGAAAUCCUACAGCUUAACUGUAGAACUGCACUUGAAACUUCUAAUCUAGAGUAUGGGAGGGGGAGAUGGAAUUAGUGGUGUAGGGGUAAAAUCCGUAGAUAUCACUAGGAAUACCUAAAGCGAAGGCGGUCUCCUGGAACAUUACUGACGCUAAGGCGUGAAAGCGUGGGGAGCAAACAGGAUUAGAUACCCCAGUAGUC
RNAcentral lists this ribosomal RNA (440 nucleotides) under uncultured bacterium. RNAcentral's name for it is "partial 16S ribosomal RNA". It matches the Rfam family "Bacterial small subunit ribosomal RNA", at positions 339 to 795 of the family's 1533-position model. The record is from RNAcentral.